AUGGCUGUCGUCAGCUCGUGUCGUGAGAUGUUGGGUUAAGUCCCGCAACGAGCGCAACCCUCAUUUUUAGUUGCCAUCAGGUUAAGCUGGGCACUCUAAAAAAACUGCCGGUGAUAAGCUGGAGGAAGGCGGGGAUGACGUCAAGUCCUCAUGGCCCUUACGGUCUGGGCUACACACGUGCUACAAUGGUGGUGACAGUGGGCAGCGAUACUGCAAAGUAAAGCUAAUCCCAAAAAACCAUCUCAGUUCGGAUUGGACUCUGCAACUCGAGUCCAUGAAGUUGGAAUCGCUAGUAAUCGUAGAUCAGCGUGCUACGGUGAAUACGUUCUCGGGCCUUGUACACACCGCCCGUCACGCCAUGGGAGUUGGUUUUACCUUAAGCCGGUGCGCUAACCGCAAGGAAGCAGCCGUCCACGGUAGGGUCAGCGACUGGGGCGAAGUCGUAACAAGGUAACCGUAGGGGAACCUGCGGUUGGAUCACCUCCUUUCUAAGGAUAUUGAUGUUUGUUUAGACAAACAUCCGGAUUGUUGUCUAUUUAUCUCUUUAUAAUAUUAGCUAAGUGCUAGGUGUUUCCUUAAUCAAACUGGGCCGGUAGCUCAGUUGGUUAGAGCGCGCGCUUGAUAAGCGUGAGGUCGGAAGUUCAAGUCUUCCUCGGCCCACCAUUUAUUCAAGGGGGAUUAGCUCAGCUGGGAGAGCGCCUGAUUUGCAAGCAGGGGGUCAUCGGUUCGAUCCCGUUAUCCUCCACCAAUUCUUUGUAUAGAAGGAAGCCUCAAAGGUUGUUAUUGCAGUCUUUGAGGCUGGCUUUUAAGCUAGUAUGUUCUUUAAAAAUUUAGAAGAAGUAAACUGAAAUCAUAAGAUUGUGAUGAGAUUAUGAUUUCAAAAUGGGUAAUGAUUGCAAAAUCAAAACUAAAUCAACAAAUAAGCUAAGAAGUUUUAGUAUUUAUAGUUGUUUUAAGCAAUGCUUUAGAAAGAAACUAUAACGAUCGUCUCAUGCGAGAUAACCCGAGUUUAAAAGGGCUUAGGUUUUAAAGUUAUAGGAUCAAGUGAAUAAGUGCAUAUGGUGAAUGCCUUGGCGAUUACAGGCGAUGAAGGACGUGGUAGUCUGCGAAAUUUUUCGGGGAGCUGACAAACGAGCUUUGAUCCGGAAGUGUCCGAAUGGGGAAACCCGG
Molecule: small RNA, 1170 nt
Filed under: uncultured bacterium
Lineage: Bacteria
Description: bacterial SSU rRNA
Rfam family: Bacterial small subunit ribosomal RNA (bases 1-488)
Source: RNAcentral